UGAUUAAUUAUUAAUGUGUUUUAGUAUCUGUUAUUGGAGGAGUAAUAGGAAUAAUACUGAUAAUAAUAAUAAUAGUAAUAAUAACACUUUUAAUAAUUACUGUUAUAAUACAAAGAAAGAAAAGAUACAGUAAAUUUGAUAAACAACCAUUGGAACUUCCACUAACAGCACUGACAAAUGAUAUUAUAAAAGAAGACAAUAAGUAUACUGAUUUAUCUGUUAUGGAUGAUAACAGUACCAAUAAAGAUACUUCAGUAACAGUUGAACCAGAAUAUGCUGCUGUUAAUAAGAAAGAGACAGAAGAGGUUCCAGUACAGCAGCAGUUGUCAUUAUAUGAACCAACAUACACUGAUAUUGAAGCACUCAAACUCUCCCCACAUCACAUUUAUAAUGAACCAUUCUUUGACCCAUUAAUACCAGCCACUCUACCAGUAUCAAUGGAAGAACUGGGCAAUCAUGUAGCUACUUGUCACAGUA
This is a long non-coding RNA of Amphimedon queenslandica, 477 nucleotides long. RefSeq lists it as uncharacterized. The transcript is spliced from 4 exons. NCBI's taxonomy places the organism in Eukaryota, Metazoa, Porifera, Demospongiae, Haplosclerida, Niphatidae. The record is from RefSeq and is a predicted model, not a curated record.